AUGCACGCUGGCGGCGUGCCUCAUCCAUGCAAGUCGAGCGAACAGACGAGGAGCUUGCUCCUCUGACGUUAGCGGCGGACGGGUGAGUAACACGUGGAUAACCUACCUAUAAGACUGGGAUAACUUCGGGAAACCGGAGCUAAUACCGGAUAAUAUAUUGAACCGCAUGGUUCAAUAGUGAAAGACGGUUUUGCUGUCACUUAUAGAUGGAUCCGCGCCGCAUUAGCUAGUUGGUAAGGUAACGGCUUACCAAGGCGACGAUGCGUAGCCGACCUGAGAGGGUGAUCGGCCACACUGGAACUGAGACACGGUCCAGACUCCUACGGGAGGCAGCAGUAGGGAAUCUUCCGCAAUGGGCGAAAGCCUGACGGAGCAACGCCGCGUGAGUGAUGAAGGUCUUCGGAUCGUAAAACUCUGUUAUUAGGGAAGAACAAAUGUGUAAGUAACUAUGCACGUCUUGACGGUACCUAAUCAGAAAGCCACGGCUAACUACGU
RNAcentral lists this ribosomal RNA (495 nucleotides) under uncultured bacterium. RNAcentral's name for it is "partial 16S ribosomal RNA". It matches the Rfam family "Bacterial small subunit ribosomal RNA", at positions 29 to 506 of the family's 1533-position model. The record is from RNAcentral.